RNAcentral lists this long non-coding RNA (489 nucleotides) under Actinidia chinensis (golden kiwifruit). RNAcentral's name for it is "long non-coding RNA (ACHI_LNC004546)". Lineage: Eukaryota; Viridiplantae; Streptophyta; Magnoliopsida; Ericales; Actinidiaceae. The record is from RNAcentral.
GACAGUCAAGUUAGAUGACCGAAAAACGUACGUAAAGAGAGAGUGUAUGUCCCAUGGACUAAAUUCGAGUACCUUUAAGAGAAAGAAAUGCUGACUUUAUAUGACACAGCUCAGCGCGUAUCUUGACGUGCUAGCUAUCGUGUCAUUGGACAGACUACAGCUUGGCGCGUGCUCAUUCGUGUCGACCGCUGUGUCAAUAAGUCGGUGGUUGACUCAGCCACGCUUCUAGGGCCUGGAUGGUAGCCUGUUAUCAUGUUAUCGACAUCUCCAUCCGAGCAUGGGGGCUGUCAGAAGAAACUCUAUCGUGUAAGUUACCUUCUGUACUAUGACAUCCCUCAGGAUUGUUGUCAGUCGUUUCCCCUCUUUCAAGCUCUAGCGCAGUUAUUCUUCUCAACUUGCUAAAUAGCAACUGCUUGAAAGUAACGAUGGUCUUAGCUCAGAUAAUGUCUGUCUUCAGUAGUAUCUACAUGGAGCUCCAGCGCAGAGAUC